CAGGGUCCCAAGGAAGAAAACAGAUGCUGUGUCCCUCCCACUGCUCCCAAUUGCAGGUGUUGGUACAGUGACAAGCUGCUGUCUCCCACAGUGGUGUCAACCAGAACAGAACACCGUGGGAAGAACACUGGGGACGGGUCCUUUCUCCCCAGCUCUUCAGCCUGGCUUUAAACUAGUUCAAGAGAAAGCUGCUGACUUCAAUCCCCUGCCUAGGAGACAAUGCUGUGCUUCUCACACCUCUGCUUCAGCCCUGAGCAGUUUCUACCUCAACCCAGCUGAUGUUCCAUAUGAGCACUGCUGCCUGCUCUUUCCUGCUCAUGGAGGCUGCUUUGCUGCAAAUGCCAGUGUUUGUGGUUCACCUGAGGAGAUCACCAGCUAUUCAAGACCACUGCCAUCAGAUGCCAACAGCUGCAGCUCAUCGGCCUACGGUUCUUUCUGAUGAAGUGCUUUUCAGAUCAGAAUAUGCCAAUCCAUCAAACCCAAGACUUUUGAUGGGGCGAGAGAGUUCAACCAACUCCCUCCAGUUUUAAAUUCCACUUUUGUUUUUAAAAUUAAACCACUGGUAAUGAAAGAAUAAAACACAAAGCAGGAGUCUAUAUUGAAAUCA
Molecule: long non-coding RNA, 607 nt
Filed under: Parus major (Great Tit)
Lineage: Eukaryota; Metazoa; Chordata; Aves; Passeriformes; Paridae
Description: lncRNA (ENSPMJG00000009336.1)
Source: RNAcentral